GAUGAACGCUGGCGGCGCGCCUAAUACAUGCAAGUCGAGCGAACGGACGAGAAGCUUGCUUCUCUGAUGUUAGCGGCGGACGGGUGAGUAACACGUGGAUAACCUACCUAUAAGACUGGGAUAACUUCGGGAAACCGGAGCUAAUACCGGAUAAUAUUUUGAACCGCAUGGUUCAAAAGUGAAAGACGGUCUUGCUGUCACUUAUAGAUGGAUCCGCGCUGCAUUAGCUAGUUGGUAAGGUAACGGCUUACCAAGGCAACGAUGCAUAGCCGACCUGAGAGGGUGAUCGGCCACACUGGAAAUGAGACACGGUCCAGACUCCUACGGGAGGCAGCAGUAGGGAAUCUUCCGCAAAGGGCGAAAGCCUGACGGAGCAACGCCGCGUGAGUGAUGAAGGUCUUCGGAUCGUAAAACUCUGUUAUUAGGGAAGAACAUAUGUGUAAGUAACUGUGCACAUCUUGACGGUACCUAAUCAGAAAGCCACGGCUAACUACGUG
This 497-nucleotide ribosomal RNA is filed under the name uncultured bacterium. RNAcentral describes it as "partial 16S ribosomal RNA". It matches the Rfam family "Bacterial small subunit ribosomal RNA", at positions 28 to 507 of the family's 1533-position model. The record is from RNAcentral.